UAAAACUCACCAACUACAUUAACAAUGAAAGAGCAAACUUGGAAUAGACAGGAGGACCUAAUAUGAGUAUCAUUGCAUUUAUGGUCAUUCGAAAAGAGAGAAAGGGAAAAAGGUCAACACCUCAAUUGACACAAGGUACAAUACUUUCUUUAGUGCAUUAGUACAAUAAUUGCAAAGCCCGAGUACAAUAACUCUAAUAGGAAUUUGUUAUUCAAAUAAAUCAAUUUUUUAAUUUUUUUUCUUUAAAAUAAUUCAUUUUUCAGAUUAUUUUCUAAAAUACCUCAUUU
This 287-nucleotide long non-coding RNA is filed under the name Lathyrus oleraceus (garden pea). RNAcentral describes it as "Pisum sativum (pea) long non-coding RNA (PSAT_LNC007849)". The record is from RNAcentral. Lineage: Eukaryota; Viridiplantae; Streptophyta; Magnoliopsida; Fabales; Fabaceae.